AACGAACGCUGGCGGCAGGCCUAACACAUGCAAGUCGAGCGAGGACUUCGGUUCUAGCGGCGGACGGGUGAGUAACGCGUGGGAAUGUGCCCUUCUCUACGGAAUAGCCCUGGGAAACUGGGAGUAAUACCGUAUACGCCCUAUUGGGGAAAGAUUUAUCGGAGAAGGAUCAGCCCGCGUUGGAUUAGGUAGUUGGUGGGGUAAUGGCCUACCAAGCCGACGAUCCAUAGCUGGUUUGAGAGGAUGAUCAGCCACACUGGGACUGAGACACGGCCCAGACUCCUACGGGAGGCAGGAGUGGGGAAUCUUAGACAAUGGGGGCAAACCUGAUCUAGCCAUGCCGCGUGAGUGAUGAAGGCCUUAGGGUUGUAAAGCUCUUUCAGCUGGGAAGAUAAUGACGGUACCAGCAGAAGAAGCCCCGGCUAACUCCGUG
RNAcentral lists this ribosomal RNA (433 nucleotides) under uncultured bacterium. RNAcentral describes it as "partial 16S ribosomal RNA". It matches the Rfam family "Bacterial small subunit ribosomal RNA", at positions 29 to 507 of the family's 1533-position model. The record is from RNAcentral.